UCUAGAGAGGAUGUUCCUGCCAUGGUGGAACCUUUGAAGAUCGAUGCUGGCGGUGACAAGGAUGGUUAAGGUUCUGGCCGCGAAACCGACUCUGGUGGUCAUGAUCUGACAACAAUCAUUCUUGUUUGACGAAUCAGAUCUAUGUUUGAUCAAGUGCUUUGCCGGUUCGUGUUUCAUGUUUUACCUCUGCCCUUUCAUUCUUAGAUGACAUCAUCCAUCUCUCUGGUUGCUGAUAACCACAGGACUGCUGGUAUAUGGCAUAUAAAGCAAUUGAAGAUGCCGGUGGCUGGAAAGCUAGAACUGCUAUGGAGGACAUGGAUCUUGCAGUUUGGGCUAGCCUCAAGGGGUGGAAAUAUGUCUUUGUUGGGGACUUAGAGCGAGUCUCCUUUUGGGAGAAACUUCAUGUCCUUUAUGCAUACUUCUUUGUAAGGAAAAGAAUAGUACACGGGAUCACCAUUUUUAUUGUGUAAUUUUCCCGGUAAGCAUCAUGGUCCCAGAGGUUAAACUUUUAAAACCAAUAGCCAUAUAUUUUCCAGCAACAAUUACCGUUCAGAACUUAGCAUGCACCCUAAGGUAACAAAUUAUUGCAAUUUUUAUAUUAGUUAUAGUAUUAUUUGUUUCUU
Molecule: long non-coding RNA, 623 nt
Organism: Helianthus annuus (common sunflower)
Lineage: Eukaryota; Viridiplantae; Streptophyta; Magnoliopsida; Asterales; Asteraceae
Exons: 4
Source: RefSeq, a predicted model, not a curated record